Fukomys damarensis (Damara mole-rat) is the source of this 116-nucleotide unclassified non-coding RNA. The record is from Ensembl. Lineage: Eukaryota; Metazoa; Chordata; Mammalia; Rodentia; Bathyergidae.
AAUUCAGUAUCUGUUUAUAGAAUAGGUAGUGAUAAGGCCAUUGAGAGUUCUGCGACUGUUCCUCAAUUUGCUCCUUCCUCGGGUGUGUAAGUUCGGUUCUGAAAUUCCCAUUCUUC